Molecule: small nucleolar RNA, 120 nt
Filed under: Echinops telfairi (small Madagascar hedgehog)
Lineage: Eukaryota; Metazoa; Chordata; Mammalia; Afrosoricida; Tenrecidae
Description: Small nucleolar RNA SNORA61 (ENSETEG00000026451.1)
Source: RNAcentral
ACCCUCUCCAGCCCCUUCCCCUCAGAUGCCAACAUUGGUCUGGGUGGCUGUAACAGGAGGGAAAGUUCAUCAGAACGGAGUUGGGUUUCUCUGUGAUAUACAAGUUCGUUUCACAACAAA